This 429-nucleotide ribosomal RNA is filed under the name uncultured Gammaproteobacteria bacterium. Its description in RNAcentral is "bacterial SSU rRNA". It matches the Rfam family "Bacterial small subunit ribosomal RNA", at positions 355 to 776 of the family's 1533-position model. Lineage: Bacteria; Pseudomonadati; Pseudomonadota; Gammaproteobacteria. The record is from RNAcentral.
UGGGGAAUAUUGGACAAUGGGCGCAAGCCUGAUCCAGCAAUGCCGCGUGGGUGAAGACGGCCUGCGGGUUGUAAAGCCCUUUAGGUGGGGAAGAAGGAGGCUGGGUGAAUAGCCGAGUCUUUUGACAUUACCCACGGAAUAAGCACCGGCUAACUCCGUGCCAGCAGCCGCGGUAAUACGGAGGGUGCGAGCGUUAAUCGGAAUGACUGGGCGUAAAGCGUGCGUAGGCGGUAACGUCAGUCAGUCGUGAAAGCCCUGGGCUUAACCUGGGAAUGGCGAUUGAGACGGCGUAACUCGAGUGGGCUAGAGGACUGUGGAACUCCCGGUGUAGCGGUGAAAUGCGUAGAGAUCGGGAAGAACACCGAUGGCGAAGGCAGCGGUCUGGGGCCACACUGACGCUGAGGCACGAAAGCGUGGGGAGCAAACAGG